Solea senegalensis (Senegalese sole) is the source of this 752-nucleotide long non-coding RNA. RefSeq lists it as uncharacterized. NCBI's taxonomy places the organism in Eukaryota, Metazoa, Chordata, Actinopteri, Pleuronectiformes, Soleidae. The record is from RefSeq and is a predicted model, not a curated record. The transcript is spliced from 3 exons.
AACAGAAACUGUAACCAGAGUAAAUGUGGACUGAAGGAAGUUUGUCCUGAGUGUUUAUGUGAAGAAGAAACAGAUAAGAUUUCAAUUUGAAGGGUGUGUUCUCUCACACACACACACACACACACACACACACACACACGUUUGCUUACACUGAGAGGAUGUUUUCUGUCAGACAGGAGGAAGAGGAGGAAGAGGAGGGGGAAAAACAACAACCUUUUGAAAAGGCUAAAAGAUUCUUUUCCUAACUCAUCACCACCUCUCCUCAGCGGCCAUGUUUGUUUGGGUCAGUGGGCGGAGUCAGAUGCAGGAAUCCUCAGCGCUGACAGAGUUCACUGAGUUGAGUUUCCUCACCUUUAAAUAACAGCUGUGACCUAGAUCUGCUUGCUGGGAAACUCCGCCCCCCCCAGCUCUGAUGUCACCUUUGCUCUCACGGUUCCCCCCGAUCAAUCACAGCGGCCGGAGACGUGGACAUGACGGGACAACACAGACAAACGAACAAAUGUGGACAAAGCGUUUGCAGACACAACAGAACUGUUCUCCCAGCUGCUGCACACUUCUGAUAACACGAGCGUCGGCCAAUCAGAUCGUCACACUGUUGACAGAAGGCGUGUCGUAACAGUCUGACACCUGGUUACUGUGGAUUAAACCGGGGGAAAGUGUUCAGAGAGAAAAACAACACAGAUUAAGACGUGGCUGCUUUGUCUUACUAUGAGACAGACGUCUGUAAAGCACUCACUCUCCCAAACCAAAGU